Molecule: ribosomal RNA, 429 nt
Filed under: Verrucomicrobiota bacterium
Lineage: Bacteria; Pseudomonadati; Verrucomicrobiota
Description: Verrucomicrobia bacterium partial 16S ribosomal RNA
Rfam family: Bacterial small subunit ribosomal RNA
Source: RNAcentral
UGGGGAAUCUUCCGCAAUGGACGAAAGUCUGACGGAGCAACGCCGCGUGAGUGAUGACGGUCUUCGGAUUGUAAAGCUCUGUUAAUCGGGACGAAUGGUUUGUGUGCAAAUAGUGCAUAGACAUUACGGUACCGGAAUAGAAAGCCACGGCUAACUACGUGCCAGCAGCCGCGGUAAUACGUAGGUGGCAAGCGUUGUCCGGAAUUAUUGGGCGUAAAGCGCGCGCAGGCGGACUAGCCAGUCAGUCGUAAAAGUUCGGGGCUUAACCCCGUGAUGGGAUUGAAACUACUAGUCUAGAGUGUCGGAGAGGAAAGUGGAAUUCCUAGGGUAGCGGUGAAAUGCGUAGAUAUUAGGAAGAACACCAGUGGCUAAGGCGACUUUCUGGACGAACACUGACGCUGAGGCGCGAAAGCCAGGGGAGCGAAGGGG